This 739-nucleotide ribosomal RNA is filed under the name Salmonella enterica. Its description in RNAcentral is "partial 23S ribosomal RNA". It matches the Rfam family "Bacterial large subunit ribosomal RNA", at positions 452 to 1190 of the family's 2925-position model. RNAcentral also lists the same sequence under 2 other names. Lineage: Bacteria; Pseudomonadati; Pseudomonadota; Gammaproteobacteria; Enterobacterales; Enterobacteriaceae. The record is from RNAcentral.
ACCAUCCUCCAAGGCUAAAUACUCCUGACUGACCGAUAGUGAACCAGUACCGUGAGGGAAAGGCGAAAAGAACCCCGGCGAGGGGAGUGAAAAAGAACCUGAAACCGUGUACGUACAAGCAGUGGGAGCACAGGUUUACCUGUGUGACUGCGUACCUUUUGUAUAAUGGGUCAGCGACUUAUAUUCUGUAGCAAGGUUAACCGAAUAGGGGAGCCGGAGGGAAACCGAGUCUUAAUUGGGCGUUAAGUUGCAGGGUAUAGACCCGAAACCCGGUGAUCUAGCCAUGGGCAGGUUGAAGGUUGGGUAACACUAACUGGAGGACCGAACCGACUAAUGUUGAAAAAUUAGCGGAUGACCUGUGGCUGGGGGUGAAAGGCCAAUCAAACCGGGAGAUAGCUGGUUCUCCCCGAAAGCUAUUUAGGUAGCGCCUCGUGAAUUCAUCUCCGGGGGUAGAGCACUGUUUCGGCUAGGGGGCCAUCCCGGCUUACCAACCCGAUGCAAACUGCGAAUACCGGAGAAUGUUAUCACGGGAGACACACGGCGGGUGCUAACGUCCGUCGUGAAGAGGGAAACAACCCAGACCGCCAGCUAAGGUCCCAAAGUCAUGGUUAAGUGGGAAACGAUGUGGGAAGGCCCAGACAGCCAGGAUGUUGGCUUAGAAGCAGCCAUCAUUUAAAGAAAGCGUAAUAGCUCACUGGUCGAGUCGGCCUGCGCGGAAGAUGUAACGGGGCUAAACCAU